RNAcentral lists this small RNA (862 nucleotides) under Metamycoplasma salivarium. Its description in RNAcentral is "bacterial LSU rRNA". The stretch from base 358 to 862 matches the Rfam family "Bacterial large subunit ribosomal RNA", at positions 1 to 497 of the family's 2925-position model. Lineage: Bacteria; Bacillati; Mycoplasmatota; Mycoplasmoidales; Metamycoplasmataceae. The record is from RNAcentral.
CGCCCGUCACACCAUGGGAGCUGGUAAUACCCAAAGUCGGUUUGCUAACCUCGGAGGCGACUGCCUAAGGUAGGACUGGUGACUGGGGUGAAGUCGUAACAAGGUAUCCCUACGAGAACGUGGGGAUGGAUCACCUCCUUUCUACGGAGUACAAAAAGAAGUUAUCCAUACUUCUAUGACUAAAGUUAAUGGAUUUAAUAUUCGUGUCCAGUUUUGAGAGAAUUAUUUCUCUCUUUUGUUCUUUGAAAACUGAAUUAGACAUUGAAAAAUUAUCAAAUCAAUAUAAUAUUUCAAAGUUUAGAUCAACCUAUAGAAUAUUCUAAUAGACAAACAAUAGGUCAUACAUUAUAUUUAUACUAUUAAAUAAGCAAGAGUUUUUGGUGGAUGCCUUGGGUCUGAAAGUCGAAGAAGGACGUGACUACCUGCGAUAAGCCUCGUUUAGUUGGAAAUAAGCAUUUAGACGGGGAUUUCCGAAUGGGGAAACCUAAUUGAGCUAAUCCUCAAUUAUCAUACCAGUGAAUCCAUAGCUGGAUGAAGAGACACGCUGUGAAUUGAAACAUCUCAGUAGCAGCAGGAAGAGAAAAUAAAGAAUGAUUCCCUUAGUAGUGGCGAGCGAACGGGGAAAAGCCCAAACCAACAUUCGUUGUUGGGGUUGUAGGACUACUAAUUAAGAAGUUAGACAAAUAUUUACAUAUAGCAGAAUGAGUUGGAAUGCUCAAACAUAGAGGGUGAAACUCCCGUAAGUGAAAUGUGUAAAUCUUCUAGUGGUAUCCUGAGUAGGGCGGGGCACGUGAAACCCUGUCUGAAUCUGCCGGGACCACCCGGUAAGGCUAAAUACUAAUCAGACACCGAUAGUGAACUA